This 253-nucleotide ribosomal RNA is filed under the name uncultured bacterium. RNAcentral describes it as "partial 16S ribosomal RNA". It matches the Rfam family "Bacterial small subunit ribosomal RNA", at positions 524 to 776 of the family's 1533-position model. The record is from RNAcentral.
UACGUAGGGUGCGAGCGUUAAUCGGAAUUACUGGGCGUAAAGCGUGCGCAGGCGGUUCUCCAAGUCCGUUGUGAAAGCCCCGGGCUCAACCUGGGGAUGGCAGUGGAAACUAGGGGACUGGAAUCUGGCAGAGGGGGGUGGAAUGCCGCGUGUAGCAGUGAAAUGCGUAGAGAUGCGGCGGAACACCGAUGGCGAAGGCAGCCCCCUGGGCUGAGAUUGACGCUCAGGCACGAAAGCGUGGGGAGCAAACAGG